AUGGAAAGGCUUUCUGCAAUCCAUUCUAAGUGUCACUGAAUCCAAAGCCACUACGAGAAGUGGAGAGUUUGUUGAUGGAAAAACAGUGGGAAGGCCUUCCUCAAUCAAAUGUGCUUCGUACGCAGCGGUGUUGAGGUCACUGGCGGGUAGUCAGGCCGAGAUCAGCUCAGCGGUAGAAAGAAAGGGCAAUGCACUUGUAGGAGACAAAAGAUCUCAGGUGACAUUGGGUGAGUUGGAGGGAGGAGUUAUGGAUUAUGUGAGAGAUCUAAUGAUUAAAGUGGAUAAGGGGCUGGACCUAGUUGUGGGUACAAGUGUGCUACCAAGUGUGCCGGAAAGUGUGCAAGCAAAGGGUGUGUCGACGAUAGGGUCGUUGGACGCUGGCAUCUUUGUUCAUGCCAAUGUCACUAUGCCUUCUGAGGGAGCUGUAGGGUCUCAGGCACCAGUUGCAGAUGAAGUUGGUCCUUUUGUCCAGGGUUCAUUUGUAGUUGAAGAUGGGGGUCCCUCCAAGGUCUCGAGUAUUUUGGA
Juglans microcarpa x Juglans regia is the source of this 525-nucleotide long non-coding RNA. RefSeq lists it as uncharacterized. Lineage: Eukaryota; Viridiplantae; Streptophyta; Magnoliopsida; Fagales; Juglandaceae. The record is from RefSeq and is a predicted model, not a curated record. The transcript has 2 exons.